AUUGAACGCUGGCGGCAGGCCUAACACAUGCAAGUCGAGCGGAUGAAGGGAGCUUGCUCCUGGAUUCAGCGGCGGACGGGUGAGUAAUGCCUAGGAAUCUGCCUGGUAGUGGGGGAUAACGUCCGGAAACGGGCGCUAAUACCGCAUACGUCCUGAGGGAGGAAGUGGGGGAUCUUCGGACCUCACGCUAUCAGAUGAGCCUAGGUCGGAUUAGCUAGUUGGUGGGGUAAAGGCCUACCAAGGCGACGAUCCGUAACUGGUCUGAGAGGAUGAUCAGUCACACUGGAACUGAGACACGGUCCAGACUCCUACGAGAGGCAGCAGUGGGGAAUAUUGGACAAUGGGCGAAAGCCUGAUCCAGCCAUGCCGCGUGUGUGAAGAAGGUCUUCGGACUGUAAAGCACUUUAAGUUGGGAGGAAGGGCAGUAAGUUAAUACCUUGCUGUUUUGACGUUACCAACAGAAUAAGCACCGGCUAACUUCGUG
This 484-nucleotide ribosomal RNA is filed under the name uncultured bacterium. RNAcentral's name for it is "partial 16S ribosomal RNA". It matches the Rfam family "Bacterial small subunit ribosomal RNA", at positions 30 to 507 of the family's 1533-position model. The record is from RNAcentral.